This is a long non-coding RNA of Canis lupus familiaris (dog), 3392 nucleotides long. RefSeq lists it as uncharacterized. Lineage: Eukaryota; Metazoa; Chordata; Mammalia; Carnivora; Canidae. The transcript is spliced from 2 exons. The record is from RefSeq and is a predicted model, not a curated record.
GGAAGCAGGCCCGAUGCAGGGAGCCCGAUGCAGGGAGCCCAAUGCAGGACUCGAUCCCGGGACCCCAGGAUCACACCCUGGGUUGAAGGUGGGUGCUCAACCGCUGAGCCACCCAGGCGUUCCAUGGGCCAAAUUCCAAACCCACACUUAUGACACUUGGAAAUGAGCAUUUAAAAGUUCUCAUAGGGAUCAAUGCCAUUUAGAGGUUUUAUCUAAAUGAGUAUUUCUUAUACUUUUAAAAGAGGCUUAAGAAGGAAAUGAUUAUGCUUUGUAAUACCUACUAGAUAGUUCAGCUCACUCAAAGAGUAUUAGCUGAAUUGAGUUUAUGUUAGUUCCUACUUGCAACCAAAGAACUGACUCUGCCACCCUUCAGUUCAGAUCUUUUUUCCCCCCUAUUUCUCAGAAGUUUGAACUCUUAUUAUGGGCUCCUUACUUCACGUCCUUGAUGAUCUUGCCUGGGCCUCCUCUCCAGCCUCCACCAUCUUAUCUGUCCUCCCCAUGGCCUCACUCCAGCCAUGCUGAACUACUUGCCAUUCUCUCUAUAGAUCCUGGGCUUUUGCACUUCCUAUUCUGCUGGGAACCCCUUUGGCCAACUCUUAAUCACUCUUUGUGAGUUAGCUCAACUGUCACCACUUCAAAUGGCCAACCCCCGCCCCCUGUAGUCUUGUAGCAGUGUCUUCCUCUGAGUUCCACAACAUCCUACAUUUACUUAUCAUACGUUGUAUUAUCAUUGUCCUUUUGCCUGCCCGUCUUUCCCGUAGGCAUGAGAACAUGCUGUUAAGAGCUUAGGGUGGGUUUCAUCCUUGGCUCUGACAUGUGUGUCCUUGAAAAACAUUGCUUCUCCUCUCUGAACCUUAAUCUCCUCAUCUGUAAAAUGGGCAGUAAGAGAGGUAAUUUCUGUGGCACACAAUGCCUGGCAUGUAGUAAGUCCAACGUUAGCUAUGCAUCUUCAGAGCUGAUCCUUUUAAAUUGAUGAUCAGUGGAGUGGUAGCUCUGCCUAGACCAGUGGUUUUCACGUUUCUCUCUGCCUCAGAACUACCUGGAGGGCUUGCUAAAACACACAUUGCUGGGCUCCACCAUGAGUUUUUGAUCCAGUGGGUCUGGAAUGGAGCUGCAGAAUUUGCAUGUCUAAUUGGUUCUCAGGUGGUGCCAUUGCUGAUUGUUGUGGGACCACACACUGAGAACCAGUAGGCUGGGCAGCUGGGGAGGGUGGAUGUCUGAUGAAAGUGAUUGAAUACUUGGUGCUAAAAUAAACUCAUACUAGAGCAUAAGGCACUUCCCUCUCCAGCGGAUGUGGACAUGGUGUAUCUAUCUGUUAAUACAUCCAUCCAUUCAGCCAAUAUUUGUUGAGAAUCUACUGUGUCCAGGCGUUGUGCUAGACCUUGGCGACAGAGCGGUGAAGGACACAGACACGAAGGUCUCCGAUGUUGAUGAGUUCAUAGUAUAAUGGCCCUGUUUUGGAGGGCAGGGCAUCAUAAAUGUAUGUGUCCCAUCAGUCCCAAUUCUAGGGGCACGGUUGGUCUGAGGAACGGCUAACUUUAAGGAUACCGAUGUCAGUAAUUGCCUUCCUGUUGAUUGCAUCAUCGUGAUUGCCUCUAAAUAACCGAUUUUGCCAAAAUGAUAAAUCAAAACUGAUUAUGGUAAUCCUAUAAUCCCCUUGUCUGGAACUGUAGCCAUCAAUUGGCACUGGUCUUAGGGUGAAGUCAGCCCAUGAAACAUGGCAGAGCAGAGUCCAGAGAAUCAGAGCCAGGCUGUGAUAUAACAUCCGUUAAAUGAUAUGAUACGUAUCCUUAUUAUUAUUAUUAUGAUUAUCACUAGCCAAUUUGAGUAGGAGUUUUUUGCUAUUGGUGCUGAAAGUUCCCUAUGAUGUAAUAGCUCUCCUUUACUAAGUGCUCAUGAUGUGCCAGCCACCAGCUGCCCAGCGUAGGCACCAGUACUGUCCCAUUGUUGAGGGACAAAACUGAGAGGUUAAGUCACUUGCCCGCCAGGUGGGUGCAGAGACGUGAGAGGUAAGGCUGUGUUAUGGAGCAUAAAAUGCUGGCGAGGGGAACUCAAAUGCUUUGCAGUGAAACCAGCCUACACGCUUCACAGUCACACUGUGCUGCCUUAAGCUUCUUCUAACUGAUAAGAAUGGAAAACCCAACCAACCCACUUUAUCUUUGUCUGUUGGACUGGGAAUCAUGGAGAGCAGUUGAUUUGCCCAGGUUGGCUCUCUUGUUCUAGUUCUCUUCACUAAACUUGACUGCUUUCUAGAAGCUGGUCAACAAACACAUUCUUAAGACCUUUUUUUGGCUGAGCCUCCUGGUUAGGGAAUCAGGGAAAAGGGCUUGGCUGGAGACGGUAGCACCCUAAGUCCUCGAACUCCCCCAUGUGGCCAGAUUUCAACAAAAACAUCCUUCUGUGAGAGUCAAUCACGGAAGCAGUGAGCUCCUCGGAUGGCAACCAUUGCCAGAAGUGCAGCUGGGGGCCAUUUUGUCAAGAAGUGCUCUUUUGGAGAGAGAGAGAGAGAGAGAGAGAGAGAGAAGGCAUACAGGUGCAUGCCAGUGCCCUCAUAAUAAAGUAUAACAAAGGUGGCAAUUAAGUUCAGUUAGAGGUAUACAGCUUGAAAUUAGACAAUGUAUUCAGAAAGCACUCUAUAAACUGCCAAGCGCCAGAAUGUGAGGCAUUAUUAUUGUUAUCCUUACUUUUCUGGAAUUGCCCGGGUUGCUCUGUCUGCUAUGACAAGUUAAAGGACCAGGGGAUGCAGAAGAUAAAGUGAGUCACUUUCUGGGGGACAGAAGCAGAGCCGCAAGGGUUAAGCCCUCCAGAACACCAAUUUAUGCAAAGGGCUGGAUCCCAACCGGCUUUCAGGCCAGCGCUAAGAUCUGAAUUACAAAUUUACAGAAUUUGCUGCUCGGUAAGUAAUUUCUUUUCUCCCUAAUGGAGCCCAUAAUUUCCAGUGGGCCAGUGCCCACUGUGUGUUCACUGAUCAAGUGAGGAAGAUCCAGACUGCAGAGGAGCCCAAUUUCUACCCACCGUGCGAACCGCCUUUUAAGAAGGCUUAAACAGGGACAUUGGGAGGAUGGUUAAAACCAGUGCUGAGCUUCCCUGCGACUCUGCAGAGCGCUUGCCCUGUGUCUGCAACUUGGGUAUGCCUCCCCUUCCCUAGAUGAUGAAUUCACCAGGGACCUCACGGGCCGCUGAGAACAAGCGCGCUUUUGAAUGAAUUCUUUUAUGGAUAUCAGUCAAAAAGUCACCGUCAGCUGGAACUGGAAAGCAGAGUCUUUUUGCUUUUGUUUUUCCCCCACUGGCGGCCGUUUCAGCUCAAAAGCUCAAUUCUUGGAAGGGCCACUUCUUCCUGCCACUGAAGACACACUUCCCCAUGCACCUAAAAAUAAAAAGUAAAUAAAUAA